AACGAACGCUGGCGGCAGGCUUAACACAUGCAAGUCGAACGGGUGUAGCAAUACAUCAGUGGCAGACGGGUGAGUAACACGUGGGAACCUUCCUAGAGGUACGGAACAACGCAGGGAAACUUGCGCUAAUACCGUAUACGCUCGAGAGAGGAAAGAUUUAUCGCCUUUAGACGGGCCCGCGUCGGAUUAGCUAGUGGGUAGGGUAACUGCUUACCAAGGCGACGAUCCGUAGCUGAUCUGAGAGGAUGAUCAGCCACACUGGGACUGAGACACGGCCCAGACUCCUACGGGAGGCAGCAUGGGGGAAUCUUGGACGAUGGGCGAGAGCCUGAUCCCGCCAUGCCGCAUGGGUGAAGAAGGCCUUCGGGUUGUAAAGCUCUUUUACCAGGGACGAUAAUGACGGUGCCUGGGGAAUAAGCCCCGGCAAACUUCGUGCCAGCCGCCGCCGUAA
Molecule: ribosomal RNA, 451 nt
Filed under: uncultured bacterium
Lineage: Bacteria
Description: partial 16S ribosomal RNA
Rfam family: Bacterial small subunit ribosomal RNA
Source: RNAcentral